This 1607-nucleotide ribosomal RNA is filed under the name Salmonella enterica subsp. enterica serovar Augustenborg. RNAcentral's name for it is "bacterial LSU rRNA". It matches the Rfam family "Bacterial large subunit ribosomal RNA", at positions 1223 to 2812 of the family's 2925-position model. Lineage: Bacteria; Pseudomonadati; Pseudomonadota; Gammaproteobacteria; Enterobacterales; Enterobacteriaceae. The record is from RNAcentral.
GUUGGGUAGGGGAGCGUUCUGUAAGCCUGUGAAGGUGUGUCGUGAGGCAUGCUGGAGGUAUCAGAAGUGCGAAUGCUGACAUAAGUAACGAUAAAGCGGGUGAAAAGCCCGCUCGCCGGAAGACCAAGGGUUCCUGUCCAACGUUAAUCGGGGCAGGGUGAGUCGACCCCUAAGGCGAGGCCGAAAGGCGUAGUCGAUGGGAAACGGGUUAAUAUUCCCGUACUUGGUGUUACUGCGAAGGGGGGACGGAGAAGGCUAUGUUGGCCGGGCGACGGUUGUCCCGGUUUAAGCGUGUAGGUGUGUGUUCCAGGUAAAUCCGGUUCACUUUAACACUGAGGCGUGAUGACGAGGCACUACGGUGCUGAAGCAACAAAUGCCCUGCUUCCAGGAAAAGCCUCUAAGCAUCAGGUAACAUCAAAUCGUACCCCAAACCGACACAGGUGGUCAGGUAGAGAAUACCAAGGCGCUUGAGAGAACUCGGGUGAAGGAACUAGGCAAAAUGGUGCCGUAACUUCGGGAGAAGGCACGCUGACACGUAGGUGAAGUGAUUUACUCACGGAGCUGAAGUCAGUCGAAGAUACCAGCUGGCUGCAACUGUUUAUUAAAAACACAGCACUGUGCAAACACGAAAGUGGACGUAUACGGUGUGACGCCUGCCCGGUGCCGGAAGGUUAAUUGAUGGGGUCAGCGCAAGCGAAGCUCCUGAUCGAAGCCCCGGUAAACGGCGGCCGUAACUAUAACGGUCCUAAGGUAGCGAAAUUCCUUGUCGGGUAAGUUCCGACCUGCACGAAUGGCGUAAUGAUGGCCAGGCUGUCUCCACCCGAGACUCAGUGAAAUUGAACUCGCUGUGAAGAUGCAGUGUACCCGCGGCAAGACGGAAAGACCCCGUGAACCUUUACUAUAGCUUGACACUGAACAUUGAGCCUUGAUGUGUAGGAUAGGUGGGAGGCUUUGAAGUGUGGACGCCAGUCUGCAUGGAGCCGACCUUGAAAUACCACCCUUUAAUGUUUGAUGUUCUAACGUGGACCCGUAAUCCGGGUUGCGGACAGUGUCUGGUGGGUAGUUUGACUGGGGCGGUCUCCUCCUAAAGAGUAACGGAGGAGCACGAAGGUUGGCUAAUCCUGGUCGGACAUCAGGAGGUUAGUGCAAUGGCAUAAGCCAGCUUGACUGCGAGCGUGACGGCGCGAGCAGGUGCGAAAGCAGGUCAUAGUGAUCCGGUGGUUCUGAAUGGAAGGGCCAUCGCUCAACGGAUAAAAGGUACUCCGGGGAUAACAGGCUGAUACCGCCCAAGAGUUCAUAUCGACGGCGGUGUUUGGCACCUCGAUGUCGGCUCAUCACAUCCUGGGGCUGAAGUAGGUCCCAAGGGUAUGGCUGUUCGCCAUUUAAAGUGGUACGCGAGCUGGGUUUAGAACGUCGUGAGACAGUUCGGUCCCUAUCUGCCGUGGGCGCUGGAGAACUGAGGGGGGCUGCUCCUAGUACGAGAGGACCGGAGUGGACGCAUCACUGGUGUUCGGGUUGUCAUGCCAAUGGCACUGCCCGGUAGCUAAAUGCGGAAGAGAUAAGUGCUGAAAGCAUCUAAGCACGAAACUUGCCCCGAGAUGAGUUCU